RNAcentral lists this long non-coding RNA (1322 nucleotides) under Homo sapiens (human). Its description in RNAcentral is "HSALNT0340949". The record is from RNAcentral. Lineage: Eukaryota; Metazoa; Chordata; Mammalia; Primates; Hominidae.
GGUCUUGUCCUAAGGUAGCCUGUGACAUACCUCAAGACCCAGCACCCAGGUGAUGUGACUCUUCUGCCUGGUUUCUGCCCACAUGUUACAUUGUGACAUACAUCUAGAGAAGCACCUAGGUGAUACAACUUCCCUUUUCUGCCUGAGCCCUGCCUACUGGGGACAUUGGGACAUAUCUCUGAGCCUAUGAGCUAAGUGAUGUGACUCUCUUCUUCCACCUGGGCCUUUACAAUGGGGCGAUUGUGACAUAUUGCUGAGUCCAGCACUUAGUUUUUCCAUAAAUUCUUCCCUGAGCCUUGAAGUGAGCCUCUGGUGGUCCAGUGAUCAUUACCAUCCUCACUUUAGCAUCUGGUGCUUCUGCUGGAGCAAUGUUAAUUGAAGCUCCGGCAAAGCGAGAAAGCUGCUUGAUGUGCUUGGCCCUGCUUGCCGAUGAUGACACCGACUGAUAGAGCCUGGAUAAACAGAUGAACAGUCUCCGUUUCUGAUUGCUCAAACUGCGGCUUUGGCACAUGCCUCAACAUUGCCUUUAACUGUAAUGGUGCGUUCUGGAUUAUACAGCGUCAAUUCCUGAAAGCACCUUGAUGGCCUUGAGGGCCCAGCUCUCCUCUGGGCAGUCCAUGAACGCAUAGCCAGUCUUCACCAGGAAGGAUCCCAACACUGGGAUCUUGGCGUCCUUGAAGAUACUUUCUAGGUCCAAGGGGACGGCGUUCUCGUGGAGGUUUCCGAUAUACAGUUUGUUCAUUGUGAAGAAUGGUUGUUUAAAAAAAUUAACGAGAAGAACGAGAAAUUAAAACCACCCAUGGUGAUGGAUGGAUCCAGCUGGUUUUGUUGCUCUCAUCUUCUCACCUUUAAAAUACACAAACACAGAAAGAACCAAGCACAAGAACAAGGAGUGAAAAAUCAGAUCCGAGGCUUGUUUUUCCUUGUCCUAGAUAUGUUUUAAAAGAGAAAGAAAAGAAAAAGCCUAGCUACAACCCAAAUGCAUCAACCAGUCUUCCUAAGUCUCGCUUUUGAAUAAUUUUCAAAUGAGAUGUACACCUAAAUUUUAAGAGUGUUUGAGUUUGUGUUUGCUUUAGUGGUGCUUUAUAUCUGUCUGAUUGUAAGCAUAAUGUUCAUGGAAAGAGACUUUUGGUAGGAAUCAAACUGGGACUCUUACAAUGGCUUAAGUCCAUCAGAAUAGUUCUGAUGCUACUUAGGAGCAUCAGAACUCCUUUCUUUGCCUGAUUUUUCAACUUAUUUCUUAAUUGGAACCCCAUAAAGAACAUGAAUGGUCUUCUGAUAUCCUUAAUGUCUUAGAGUUAUAUCAAUAUUUUGCUUACCAG